CCUACGGGAGGCAGCAGUGAGGAAUAUUGGUCAAUGGGCGCGAGCCUGAACCAGCCAAGUCGCGUGAGGGAAGACGGUCCUAUGGAUUGUAAACCUCUUUUGUCGGGGAGCAAAAGCCGCCACGCGUGGCGUUCCGAGAGUACCCGAAGAAAAAGCAUCGGCUAACUCCGUGCCAGCAGCCGCGGUAAUACGGGGGAUGCGAGCGUUAUCCGGAUUUAUUGGGUUUAAAGGGUGCGAAGGCGGAAGAUCAAGUCAGCGGUAAAAGUGAGAGGCUCAACCUCUGCGAGCCGUUGAAACUGGUUUUCUUGAGUGAGUGAGAAGUAUGCGGAAUGCGUGGUGUAGCGGUGAAAUGCAUAGAUAUCACGCAGAACUCCGAUUGCGAAGGCAGCAUACCGGCGCUCAACUGACGCUCAUGCACGAAAGUGUGGGUAUCGAACAGGAUUAGAUACCCGUGUAGUC
RNAcentral lists this ribosomal RNA (459 nucleotides) under uncultured bacterium. RNAcentral describes it as "partial 16S ribosomal RNA". It matches the Rfam family "Bacterial small subunit ribosomal RNA", at positions 338 to 795 of the family's 1533-position model. The record is from RNAcentral.